RNAcentral lists this ribosomal RNA (253 nucleotides) under uncultured bacterium. RNAcentral describes it as "partial 16S ribosomal RNA". It matches the Rfam family "Bacterial small subunit ribosomal RNA", at positions 524 to 776 of the family's 1533-position model. The record is from RNAcentral.
UACGUAGGUGGCAAGCGUUAUUCGGAUUUAUUGGGCGUAAAGGGUUCGUAGGCGGUCAAGUAAGUUUGAUGUGAAAUCUCCAGGCUCAACCUGGAAACUGCAUUGGAUACUGCUUGACUAGAGUAUUGGAGAGGUAAGCGGAAUUCCUGGUGUAGCGGUGGAAUGCGUAGAUAUCAGGAGGAACACCGAUUGCGAAGGCAGCUUACUGGACAAUAACUGACGCUGAGGAACGAAAGCUUGGGUAGCAAACAGG